Molecule: ribosomal RNA, 250 nt
Filed under: uncultured bacterium
Lineage: Bacteria
Description: partial 16S ribosomal RNA
Rfam family: Bacterial small subunit ribosomal RNA
Source: RNAcentral
GACGAACCGUACGAACGUUAUUCGGAAUUACUGGGCUUAAAGGGUGCGUAGGCUGUGCAGAAAGUUGGGUGUGAAAUCCCCCGGCUCAACCGGGGAAUGGCGCUCAAAACUACUGUGCUAGAGGGAGACAGAGGUAAGCGGAACUCAGGGUGGAGCGGUGAAAUGCGUUGAUAUCCUGAGGAACACCGGUGGCGAAGGCGGCUUACUGGGUCUCUUCUGACGCUGAGGCACGAAAGCUAGGGUAGCGAAC